GUGUCAGCACGCCCACACCAGGCCUCAACAAUGGCCACCAACAAUGUCCCAGUCCCUGGAGUGUUCUGACCCCUCACCAAGAUGCACUCAGGGCCUAUUAGGAGCUGGAGCAGCCAUCUUAGUCAUGUUAUGGAAGCUGUGUGUGGAGGAAGAUAAAGCCACUGUACCAGCCCUAGAAGGCUUAUACUUGGACUUCUAGAGGAGACAGAAAGGCCCUGCUGACUGUGAUGAAGGAAGGAUGGCUUCAAACAAAGACACUACCAGAACAAUCUUUAGGAAAUGUGUGGAAAAUAACCCUGCAAUCUAAAGAGAGAGAGUGACUACCUCUGCCUGGAGAGUUGGAAAUGACUACGGAAGAAGAGUUUUGAUAUUUGAACUGGAUCCAGAAUGGUGAAAUUGAAGGUAGAGAGGAAGAUCUUAAAAGGAAAUUCCAGAAAGAAGAAGGUGACUGUCACCAAGAUGGACUGCAGGAGAAAAGGAGACGUGAGAUUAUUGCAAUCACGCUGAUCAUAGUGAGGGUGCAGAGAAAAAGAUACCACAUUUGGGAAGAUGCUAACAUAGAAUCCAUGUGAUUUCAUGACUAAUUAUGCAUGUGCGCUGUGAGAUAGAUGAUUUAAGAAUGAUCCUAUUAUUACAGAACUACAGAGAUAAAAGCAUCAGAAUGUAAGAGAGACACCUAUUUUUUCCCUUUUAAAAUCAUCUUAUUUUCAAUAGUGGGCAAUUAUGUAAUUUUUUGAGCCUUCAUGUUUUAAUCUGCUAAAUGGAGAUGUAUAUAAUAUAAUUUAAAAGCCUUUAAUAAGAGGUUUAUAACUUUGUCCUCUUUUGAACAGACUGUCUUAUUAUUAUAAUGGCAUAAUUCUGACAUGCAAAACCACAACCCAUCCUCACUAUGAUUCAAAUGUCUCACUUCUCAAAUC
Molecule: long non-coding RNA, 917 nt
Organism: Diceros bicornis minor
Lineage: Eukaryota; Metazoa; Chordata; Mammalia; Perissodactyla; Rhinocerotidae
Exons: 5
Source: RefSeq, a predicted model, not a curated record